Long non-coding RNA from Drosophila biarmipes, 110 nucleotides. RefSeq lists it as uncharacterized. The record is from RefSeq and is a predicted model, not a curated record. The transcript has 2 exons. Lineage: Eukaryota; Metazoa; Arthropoda; Insecta; Diptera; Drosophilidae.
GGCAGUUGUUGCGUGUUGACAAUGUGUCAGGUCUAAUGACCAAACAGCCGGCGGACACACAAGCAUUUGAGCAAAUUAAGAAGAAUGGCAGCCGCUUCGGCUGGACCUUU